AACUAUAACGGUCCUAGGGUAGCGAAAUUCCUUGUCGGGUAAGUUCCGACCCGCACGAAAGGCGUAACGAUUUGGGCACUGUCUCAACGAGAGACUCGGCGAAAUCAUAGUACCUGUGAAGAUGCAGGUUACCCGCGACAGGACGGACAGACCCCGCGGAGCUUUACUGUAGCCUGAUAUCGAAAUUCGGCACCGACUGCACAGGAUAGGGAGGAGCCGUUGAAACGUGUGCGCUAGCAUAAGAGGAGGCG
RNAcentral lists this ribosomal RNA (251 nucleotides) under Staphylococcus aureus. RNAcentral describes it as "partial 23S ribosomal RNA". It matches the Rfam family "Bacterial large subunit ribosomal RNA", at positions 1938 to 2188 of the family's 2925-position model. The record is from RNAcentral. Lineage: Bacteria; Bacillati; Bacillota; Bacilli; Caryophanales; Staphylococcaceae.